Molecule: non-coding RNA, 107 nt
Organism: Geopyxis carbonaria
Lineage: Eukaryota; Fungi; Ascomycota; Pezizomycetes; Pezizales; Tarzettaceae
Source: the annotation of a GenBank genome assembly
GGCCGCGUGGCCCAAUGGCAAGGCGUUUGACUUCGACAUUGCAGCCCGCACCAGAUGCGACUGCAAGAGGAAUCAAAAGAUUGUCGGUUCGAGCCCGGCCGUGGUCA